GAGCAAGCUCCCCCUUCCUAUUUUUGCUUGUCUCUGAUGGAAACUGUAUUAAGAUUUUAGGAACCUGGACCUUUGAGAACAUGACACUAACAGGUGGUGAUCACAGAGGAAAGGUACAAAGGUCUUGAAGCUUGCUUAGAGCUUUGUUACGUGGUGGCACACAAAUCACAACUUGUUGUACCAUCACUGGCAAACCUCAUCACCGAUGGGUGUGAGUGUAAUAACUGUGUGAGUGCUAACGUGUGUGCACACAUUCGUGUACCUGUGUACAUGUGAUUGUAGAUGUACCUGUUGUGCAUAACUCUGUUUAAAAAAAAAAUUGCUUCACAUUUGGUGUGCAACUUUGAAGUAGUGUAGUAUUUACCUGAAGUUUUCUGCCACUCGGUUCUGAUGUCUUUGAACGUGUACUUCAAUCGUCAAGCAGGCUUCUAGUACAUGUGUUGCUACACUAACUUUUCUGAAAAACCGAGUUGACUUCUAUUAUUCUUCCUUGCCUGUCAACCAAGGGGUUGGGGUGGGGGCUCUUUUCUUGUUUGUUCCCUUGUGAGUGGUGCUGAGGAGAGGAUGUGGCUGCAGUACCAAUC
Molecule: long non-coding RNA, 584 nt
Filed under: Bos taurus (domestic cattle)
Lineage: Eukaryota; Metazoa; Chordata; Mammalia; Artiodactyla; Bovidae
Description: long non-coding RNA NONBTAT026514
Source: RNAcentral